Molecule: RNA transcript, 5119 nt
Organism: Lethenteron reissneri (Far Eastern brook lamprey)
Lineage: Eukaryota; Metazoa; Chordata; Hyperoartia; Petromyzontiformes; Petromyzontidae
Source: RefSeq, a predicted model, not a curated record
AAGAGAGAAAUAAAUAAAUGGCGCAGGAAGAAAAAGAUGGGAUUGGUGUGGACUGCCCGAUUCGUGGCUCUACUGCAUGUGACAUUUGCCGCAAAGCUCCAGCUCUCUCUGCCGGAAAAGCUGUACGUGACGGAGGGGACGAGCUUGACUAUCAAUUGCUCUUUCUCACCACCACCGACUGACCUGAAAUACAUCAUUGUCAAGUGGUCUAUGAUGCCCACGUACUACUCGAAGAACAUGUCCAUGCACGACAUCACCAAGAUCUACAACUCAGGAAUCGAAAUUGCCAGUACCGGAGUGGCCAAGUUUGUGGGCAACGUGGAGAAGGGCGACUGCUCCCUGAGGCUCCUGUACGUCUCCUCGAGCCUCAACCCCGUGUUUAGGUGCCAGGUGAUCUGCGGACGGUGCAACACGGAGAAUAACGUGGUGGAAGGAGAGGUGAUGCUGAAUGUGAUGGCUGCAGCCCCACAGCCACGCGGUGGGGACGUGAGUAACGCCACUUUCGAGCUUGAGGCGGUGACCUCGAAUGCACCGCUUUUUUUCUCCACGAAGAGGACUGGACUGGUGGCAGCGGUGGCAGUGGUGGCAGCGGUGGCGGUACUGGGCUUGGUAGCUGCGGCUAUCGUCAAGUUCAAGCACCGAAGUCAGGGAGCUCUGCAUUCUCACACAGCUGAAGCUCAAGAGGGCGAUCCCACAAGGCGAACACCGUGGUGAGAUGUUAACUACCUCGCCUGGGGUACAGGAGGUCAAGCUGAAGCUCAAGAGGGCGAUCCCACAAGGCGAACACCGUGGGUCUGAUGAUGCUGCUGAUGAUAGACAUCAUGAAGAUCGGACUGCUGGGCCUGACGUGAACAUCAGCUCGGUUUGACACGACACCCCCCCCCAACCCCACUUUUACGCGAUCAACCCUGAACAUUCUCCAAGCCACGCUUUGGAGGCCAAGAAGAGGGCCAGCAAAGGCCCCCCGGGGGGGUGGGGGGUGGGUCUGACUCCGUGAGUCUCACAGAGGGCGUCGUUGUCCCACGAUUGUCGACCCGCUGCCAAACUAUCCUCCCGAACGAAAAUAUGGAAUUUUUUUUUUAUCUUACCAGGUAAGGCCACACUGAGCUUCAGAAGUCACCUGAUCAUCAGAAAUGAUAGCUGCUCAACGAAGCGGCUCAUCAUCAUUGCAUGAUAAUUUAUUCUGGCAGCUGAAUUACUCUUGAAACACGUGGCGACGUCGAUUCUAAAUGUGGAGGGGGAAAAAACGGAGGACCCUGGAGAAAAAUCCACGCGACCACAGGGAGAGAGGGAGAAGACACGGAAACUCCAAAUAUACAGCAGGCGUCGGGGUCCGGAUGAAACCCCUGACCUCCUGCAUACCAGGUGAGAGAGUUAACAUCUCCCCAACUCAUUUCCAGCAUUGACGAUUCAACCCUCUCGGCUGCUGCCGCCCUUGGGCACCGUCCGGCUGUCCAUGGCCUGCUUUUGAAGUCGGUCAAACCAUCGGCUGACAUCAACGCUAUGUUAAAACAGUGCGAGUACGUGUAUAUAUACAGUUGUGGAGAGCGGUGGUGUAGCGGUUAGCGUGUUGCGCUACGAACCUAGCGGCCCGAGUUCGAUUCCCGCUCACGACCAACACCAGUGACGAUUAUCUGAACCGGUCCUGGGCCUCCCCUAAGUCGACUCCGUCUCAAAUGAGUACUGAGCGCGGUUUGUGUAUAACUUCGCCACUGGGGAGACAAAGGCGGCCGGGCGUGGUGCUGGCCACCCACCCCCUCGUGGGCCGUAUCGGCCUUCAUAGAUGCUCGCUAACUUUCCCCUACAGUCUGUUAAGGCUAUACAGGGGGGAUCUUUCUUUAAGGUACGAACAACUUUGUGAACUCAUUCGUUCCUUAGUAGAGCACACCGGUGUGUUGAAGAGUAAAUCCACAACAUUUGCAUUUACUAUUUGCAAAUGGUAAAUGUUGUAGUGGGUUUACUAUCCAAUACACAACCGGUUAGUGCUGAACUAGUAACUAAUAGGCAUGUUUUGUUUACGUGACAAACCCUCACUAAUGAACUAUAUCGGGUGGUGGUGGUGGCGGUGUAUGACGACACAUUCAUAUUUACGCGAUCUAACCAAACAAAAACCUCUUAUGGAUAUAAUUUGGUUGUGAAAGCCUACUUACGUGUGCAAUUAACUUUGUGAGCUGCCAAUUUGUGUCACCUCACAGGUUUUUACGCGCGGAUCGCAUAGCCGCCCCCCUUUACAGCACAGGGUACUAAACCUCGCAAACAUGGUGCUACGAACCGCUGACCUCUCAAGGAAUUUCCUCGGCGGCAGAGGAAUUGUGCUCCGAUCCGUCUCGUCGCCGUCGUCGCUGCCCUCUUCGCUAGAUAUUGCGCUGCUAGACAGUAGUUGGCUGUCUCAGUCAGCGCCGUCAGUAUUAGGCGACUAGUGUUGUGUCCAGGCUAGGCUAAGCGACUGUGGAGAGUGUGCAGGUGUGAUGCCGCCGCCACGAAGCCGUUCAACAGGCGCCCUAGCUACGACCUCGCCACCACCAAGCGACGGAGCCAACCCCGCGUCCCCCUCACCUCACCUCACAUGAAAAGAGCGCCCUACUAGGACCCUGGAGCGGUUUGUAUGCCCGGUUGUGUGUGCAGAACGGAGUGGUACGGGAGUUAACCGAGGCCGGCUAGCCGGGGUGCAUCUGUGUCCCUGCCCAGGUACGACUCCAGCUGCUACGGCUGGUGCAUGAUCACCCGCUCGGGGGCCAUGACGGGGAACGACACACUCGAGAGACCCUGCGUCGCCAGUAUCUCUGGCCCAAAUUGGCACAAGACGUGGCCGCCUGGGUACAGGGCUGCCUCGCCUGUCAGCAGUGCGGGCCGAAGCCGGCACGAUAUCAGGUACCCCUAAGGCCGUUCCGCGUCAGCCGCACGAACCAGCUGGUCGGGAUCGACCUACAGGGGCCAUUCCCGCGGUCCCAUCGAGGCAACCGGUAUAUCCUAGUCGCAGUGGAGUAUUUCACCCGCUACCCCGUGGCAGUGGCCAUCCCUGAUUAAACGGCCCUGGUGGUGGCCCGGACAUUCAUGGAGCAUUACGUACUUAAGCACGGGAUCCCAGAACGAGUCCUCACCGACCAGGGUAGCGAGUUCAAGGCCGAGCUGUUCCAGGCACUGUGCCGAGAAUUCGGAAUCCAGAAGGACCGAACCACAGCGUACCACCCCCAAGCGAACGGUAUGGUAGAGCGCAUGAAUCAGACCCUAGCAGGGAAACUCAAACGUAUGGCGGCCGCAAAUCAACGGGAUUGGGACGAACACCUCCCCUACGCCAUUUUCGCCUACGCCACCACCGUACACACGUCAACGGGACAAACCUUGUUUUUAAUGAUGUUCGGCUGUGAGUCUCGUUUACCCGCAGAUCUGCUAUUCGGCGUUCCUUUCCCCCAGCCGGAGGAGGGAAGCCGCCCCGUGGAACACCUGAUGGAGACCCUGCGAGAAGCCCGAGGCCGAGCAUACCCGCAAGGGGAAGCCGCGCAUCGGCGGCAGGAACAGGGCGCCCGACCCCGCAUGGAACCCCCCUUAUUCCUGACAGGCGCUAAGGUAUGGCUACACACCCCUCGCGUCGGGGCCGGGCAGGUGGGGAAACUGACGACCUACUGGCGGGGACCCUGGACCGUGGUGCGGCAGAUCUCCCCCUGGACGGUACUAAUCUAUGGCGGGGAGAGGGGUCGAGAGACGGUGGUCAACGUCCGCCGCUUAAAACCAUGGAAAGCGGCCCCGGCGAGAGAGAACCCCGUCACCCGAAGGCCCCGAAAUCCCGGGGUACCCGCACCCCUCGUGUUGGGGGGCCUCGCACACUACAUGGGCCCCGCCGGGCUCCCGAGACGCCCCGAUCCAGUCAAGAGACGGCGCGGACGACGGCCCCUAAACCCCCUCCGCUUCUGAGUUUGUACCCCAGCCCGCAGGUACCGAGGGACAGGGAGAGCCGCUGGAGUGGAGGAGGAGGCCGCCGCAGGUGCUGCAGAGGACGGAGCCACCCGCCCCGAAACCAGCCACUAGGUCCGGACGGAUCCCCCGGACCCCGCAGCAUUUCCUCGUGGGCGCGGCUCAAGCAAGGUGCUCCAGUCAACCCGGGACGGGGACUGGCACCUCGGGGGGCUAUGUGAUGCCGCCGCCACGAAGCCGUUCAACAGGCGCCCUAGCUACGACCUCGCCACCACCAAGCGACGGAGCCAACCCCGCGUCCCCCUCACCUCACCUCACAUGAACACACCCGCAUGCAUUUCCCCCCCCCCAUAGAGCUCCGAGGGGAGGUCACCUGACCGACCGGUUUUUAUCCGAGAAGCCCUUAUCGGGAUUAACUUUCACGGUUUCCGGCGAGCAGGGAAUUGGACGACCUCCCCCGACGCUACUUUGCACCGAGGCGCUGCGACCGGCCUUAAGAUGGUAUGGUCGCGGCGAAGGGCAUUCGGCCACCACGGUUGAAACGCAUCCCCCCACACACACCCCCACGGGUCGACGAGACAGGCAGAGGAGGGACGGGGCGGCAUAGUUUAGCGUGCCAAAGCGGGCUCGAGUGCAUAGGUGCCAUUGUUAGGGAAGUUAAAGGAUAGGGCUGGAAUUGCAAAUAAGCAGAGAGGCGACUCGGGCGCAUAGUGCGCAAUUGAUGGGGCAGGUGGUGGAGACAUGCGGAGGCUCCGCGCUUAACUUCCACAGCAGGCCGUUGUGAUGGACGCCGCUGCAUAAUGUGCAUAACUACGACAAUCCUGCAUAAGAAAGCGAUUGAACGGCACCUGCCCCACACACAGUAGGAGGGGGAGCGGAGAGUACGUGGGAAAAGGGGGGGUGGCCUAAGUCCGGGAAUUAGGAUAAAAGGGGGCGAAAACGGAAGACCUGUCUCUCUUACUCCAGGAUCAGGCCACAAGACGCUCUGCAGCCCAGCGACCCGGACGUCCGUGCGACGCAUCGAGGUACGCUGCGAGCACGGGAUCAACGGACCGCCGUGGGCACCUAACAGUGUGUAAGAAGGUGAAGUAGGAUCAUAGCCGAUAAAUAGGGAAUAGGUCCAGGGGUAGUAGAAUAGGCCAGCCUCGUCGAUUCAUACUGAUUUAACAUCAAUUCCCAGGUAGCAGACAAUAAAUCAUUAAUAGCU